UAUCACAGGCCUGAACUUUAAACUCAUUACACAUCUUUUUUUUUUAUUUCUGACAGAGUGAGGUUAUUUUUCAUCAACAAACUGUAUCUCUAAAUUUUUUAUUGAAAAAAAAUAAAUAAACAUUAUGAAUGAAGAACGUUUUAUUGUUAAAUUUAUUUCAGUUAAAAAUUGUUUUGUUUAUAUUCCAAAUAACUGGCUACAAAGAUUGACAACACAGAAUGGUGCUAUUAAAUUGAGCUAUGAUAAUAAAGAAUAUUUUGUUUCUCAUGAAAAAUCAAAAUCAAGUGGAAAUGAUUAUUUAUGUAUUAGUCCAACAUUUGGAAAAUGUUUGGAUAUCAAAGAGGGCAAUGAAAUAUUUGCAACAUGGAUUUUUGAUCCACCUGUUUUAACAUCAAUUAUUGUUACACCUAUUAAUUAUUCAGACUGGGAAAUUGUGAGACUUCAAGCUGAUAAAAUACAAUCAAUUAUGUUGAAUCAAAUAAAUAUUGUAACACCAAAUCAAAUCAUUGUCAUUUGGCUUUCAAAAUAUUUGAAUAUUAAACUUUUAGUUGAUUCAAUUAAUCCAAAAUUUUUAUAUGGAAAAUUAGAAAAUUAUACAGAAGUUCAUGUACAAGAUUCACCCUCAAAAACAACUUCCAAUAAUACAAUUGAAAAAAUCAUAAAUUCAUUUAAUUUAAAUGAUAAAAAAAAUACCGAUAAUAAUAUUGAUUUAAAUAUUUACAAAAAAGAAAAGCUAAAUUUUAUAUUUCGUGUUUGUAAAACACCAAAGUUUGAGUAUCUAAUUGAUGAUGAUAAAAUUAAUUGUGAGCUUAAUUCACCUCACAAUAUAUUUAUUCAAAAGCUGGAAUUAAAAAAAUUAUUUUCUCAUCAAGAUAGCUUUGAAAAUACAUUUGUAAAAAUUAAAAAAAUACAUUACAUUGAUAAACAAAAUGAAAAUGUUAAUUUGACUUUAUCAAAUGAUAAUGAUAAUUUUGAUGAUGUAGAAAUUGAUGAUACAGUGAGGAUAUUGUCGAUUGAUGAUUUUCUAAAUGACACUAUUGCUGAAAAUAAUUUUUUUGGAAAUAUUUGGAUACCAGAAUUAUUAAGAAAAAAAUUGGGACUUCAAUUGGGAUCAAAAAUAAAAUUAGAACCUCUAGAUGUCAUUGAAGAUCCUGUAAAAGCAAUAAAAUUAAUUACUUCAAUAAAUUCUCCUCUAAAUCGUAGUAAAUUCGAAAAUUAUAUAAAAAAAUAUUCUGAAAAUUAUGAAAUUUUAUUAACAUCUGGUACAAAAAUAUACAUUGAUGAUGAAAUUUUUUGUAUCACUAAAUUUACUGAUGAAGAAAACAAAUAUAUUUUAUUGAAUAAGCCAAAAUUACAACAAUUAAAAAUAACAAUUAAUAAUGAAGAAUUUAAAAGUAAAAAUUUGAUUAUUAAAAAUGGCAAAGAAAAGAUAGAAGAUAUGAUAAAUAUGAAAAAUAUUUAUCAUACAAUAUUUCAAGAAAUAUUUGAAGAAUGCCACAUGAUAAUAAAUCUUAGUUUUGAUAGAAAUUUCUUUUCAUAUAAUAGAGAAAAUAUUUUAAUUUGUGGUGAUAUUGGUACUGGUAAAUCUACAAUUUGUAAAUUAUUAAAACAACAAUUUGAAAGUUAUCCAAAAAAUAUAUACACACGUUUUAUUGAUUGUAAAAAAUUAAAAGGUAAAAAAUCAGAAAUAAUAUAUAAAUUAUUAAAUUCAAUAUUAAAUGAAUGUGUAUAUUAUCAACCAUCAAUAAUAUUUUUUGAUGAUUUAGAAAGUAUAAUAAAUUAUUCAUCAGAUAGUGAUGAAAAUUCACCAGAUGCUAUUAAUCAGUGGAAAAUUUCUGAUGCAAUUGUUAAAUUAUUAACGAGUUAUCAAUCACGUUAUUUAAUUUGUUGUAUUUCAAGCUGUACUGAUGUAUUAAAACUUGGUACCGAGUUACGAUCAUCAAGAGGUGUACAAUUUUUUCGAACAAUUAUUAAAAUUCCAACAAUAAAAACAUCAGAUAGAAUUGAAUUUUACAAGUUAUUAUUGAAAAAUAAAUUAACUAUUGAUGAUAAUAUUGAUUGGCAAUAUUUUGGAAUUAAAACUGAAGGCUGGGUUGCCCAAGAUCUAGUUGAUUUAGCUGAAAAAACUGUAUUUUUUGUAUGGAAAAGCAAUUUAAAAACAACAAAAUCAAAUAGUGAAUUAUAUCUAAUGAAUGACAAUUUAACUUUAGCAUUAGAAAAAUCAAAAGCAUUGUCUUUACAUGGUGUAUCAUUGUACAGUAACAAAGAAAAUAGUUGGUCAAAUAUUGGUGGUCUUGAUGAUGUUAAAAAAAUUCUUAUUCAAUUACUACAAUGGCCACUUAUUUAUCCAGAAUUAUAUUUAAAUUCACCAACUAAACAUCAACCUGGUAUUUUAUUAUAUGGUAUGCCUGGUACUGGUAAAACAAUAAUUGCUGGUGCAAUUGCAAAUGAAUGUGGAUUAAAUUUUAUAAAUAUUAAAGGACCAGAAUUAUUAUCAAAGUACAUUGGUGCUAGUGAAGAAUCUGUUAGAAAAAUAUUUAUAAAAGCACAAUUAGCAAAACCUUGUGUAUUAUUUUUUGAUGAAUUUGAUAGUUUUGCACCAAGACGUGGACAUGAUUCAACAGGUGUUACUGAUCGUGUUGUUAAUCAAUUAUUGACACAAUUUGAUGGUGUUGAAGGUCGUGAUGGUGUUGCUAUUGUUGCUGCUACAUCUAGACCUGAUUUAUUAGAUCCAGCAUUACUAAGACCAGGAAGAUUAGAUAAAUCAAUUUAUUGUCCAUUACCAAAUGAGCUGGAAAGAGAAAAAAUUCUUCAAACUCUCUGCAAAUCACAAUCUAUCAAUACAAAUAAUUUAGAUUUAACAAAAAUAUCAAAAUUAACAAAUGGAUUUACUGGUGCUGAUUUAAAUGCAAUAUUAACACAAGCAAAAUUGGAUUCAUUAGAAAAAAUAUGGUCAAAAACAACAGCUCCUAUUGAUAAACAAAAUUUUAAUGAUAUUACAAUUACACAAGAUGGAUUAAUUAAUGCCUUUGAAUUAACACAACCGUCAUUGUCAACAAUUGAUGUUAUUAAAUAUAAUAAUAUAUAUAAAAAAUUUUCAAAUGGCAAUAAUUUUAUUGAUGAAAUUUUGAAUAAUCAAAAGUCAACACUUGCAUAAUUGAUAGAGUAAAAAAAUCUUAAUGAAAAUAAAAAAAAUAAAAGUGGAAAUGGCGAGUUGGCAGGAAGGACGCAACAUUCAUCCUCCUACUACAUUAUUUUUUGAGGGUAUGGGUAUACUUGAAGAAUCUUGAUUUUAAGUUCUCCAAAGAACAUAUUUCAUCCUUGCUAAUGUCUAGAUAAACUAUAUUAUAUAUGCUCUCGCGUAAUAAUUUAAUUUAACUUGAUGCAAGCUGCAUCCGCUUGCGUCAUACACAUCCAUAUACGUACAUGCACAUUCAAUAAUUAUUAAUUUUUUUUUCAUUAUUAAUACUGAAAUUAUUUGACAAUUGUAAUAAUUUAUUACAGUGACUAUAAAUAUCCUUAAAAUUAAUUGCUCAAAAAAAUCGAAAUUUUUUCUACAGUAGAAAUUUAAUUGUUUCGAUUAAGCAAAAAUAAUUUAUAAAUCAUUUUUACAAUUCUAAUGAAUUGUAAUUUUAAUUAUUUAAAUUUAUCCUUAUAUAUAAAAAUUAAUAACAAUCGUAACAAUAAUAAACAAUAAACAUUUUAUGUGUCGCGCGGUAUAUCAAGUGCUCGUACAUCUUACCGAUUGUUUAUUUAAAAAAGCUCAAACUGAAAAUUUAAAAAUAAAUUCAUAAUAAAAUUAAAAAUAAAUAAAAGAAUUAUUAUUUAAGAUGAAUUUUAAUUUUCAAGAAAUAUUUAGUUGUUGAUUAAAUUGUAGAAGCUGAAAAAUGAUAAAUAAUUACAGGUAAAUUUUAAACGUGUCUUUUCCGAGUCACCCAGGAGGUAAGACAUAUAUGACUCGUUUUUUUUUUUAUCAAGUGGUUUCUCCAGUAGACCUAUUCCACUUUUCGCACGUUUUCUAGCUGCAGCUAGAAUUAUUUCGAUUGCGCUCAUAGUAGCAAAUUUUUCGAUUGCGCUCACAGCAGCAAGUUUUUCGAUUGCGCUCAUAGCAGCAAAUUUUUCGAUUGCGCUCACAGCAGCAAAUUUUUCGAUUGCGCUCAUAGCAGCAAAUUUUUCGAUUGCGCUCGCAGCAGCAAAUUUUUCGAUUGCGCUCAUAGCAGCAAAUUUUUCGAUUGCGCUCAUAGCAGCAAGUAUCGACACACGCAUGUACAAAAAAUAAAUAUAUACAUAAUUAUACCCGCGCUCAUAGCUGCAGGUAUAUUUUUUAUCAUACACUGUGAUAGGACAUUUCUAGGCUCAAUUCACUAUGCCACUAUCACUAAUUGUGAUAGGACAUUUCUAGGCCUUAAUCACUAUGUCACUAUCGCUCACUAUAUCAUUAUCUUACAUUUCACUAUAUGAAAUUUUAAAAUCCCGAAAAUUAUAAAAUUCUGAAACAAAAAAAUCCUGAAACAAACAAAACCUGAAAUUAUUAGAAUCAUGACAUUAAAAUCCUCAAAAUCCUGAAAUCAUAAAAAACCUGAAACAUACAAAAACCUGAAACAGAAAAAAUCCUGAAACAUACUUGAAAAUUUGAUUAUUAUUUUUGGAAAAGUGCAUUUAAUAUCAAAUAAAAAAAUCUUAAAUAUUAACAUACAUCGCGAAUGGAAAAUAGGGUGAUAAUUUAUCUAUUAUAAAUUUUCACGAUAGAUAAUAAUAAAUCCUAAUCACCCUUGUCUACUCUGUUUGAGAAAGACAAGGUCGAUUCAUUUUGACUUUCACACUACGGCUAUUUAAUUUGGCAUUUAAAUGGAAUAUAUAAUUAUUGUAAAAAUCAGUCAAAAUUAAUCUAUACAUAAAAUAAUAAUUUGGAACGACAAGAAGCUUCAAAAAAUAUAGCAACAAUUUUUUGAAACUUCAAGGAUAUUGAAGCACUUUUCCGGGAUAGGUUAAUAAUUACAACUAGUCAAUCAUGAUCUAGAGGGACUUACUUUAUUACAACAAACAGCCAUGAAGAAGUGGUCCAGGUAGUCUCCAAUAAUCCAAUUAAAUCCCAUUAUAUCCUUUCAGCAAAUCCAUGAAGAAGUUGUCCAGGUAGUCUCCAAUAAUCCAAAUAAAUUCCGUUCCAUCCUCUCAGCAAAACCAUGUAGAAAUUGUCAGGGCAGUCUCCAAUAAUCCAUUUAAAUAAUCCCAAAACAGCAACAGGCACUUUUUACACUUAUAUCACUUAACUUUUUUUUACAUAUUUCUUUUUUGAUAAUAACCACUAGCACUUUCACAAACACUUUUACUUAUUUUUUUUUUUUUAUGACCACGAGACGAUCGGCACGUGGUCAUUUCAAAUAUUUCAAACUAAACAACCGACAAAAAAAUUCUAAACGAUAUUCACUCUGCGAAAACUAAGACGAACCGAUGAAAAUCUACGAAAAUAUUCUAUUAUUUUACACUUGUACUUUUUUUUUUUGAACCGAACAACCACGAGGUACUUUUUUACUAACCACGAAUUUAACGGAUGGAAAAUUCUUAAAUGAUGUUAAACCAACAAAACCCGAAAACGAACUGACUAGAAAUCGUCUAGGACUGCCCAUUAUAUAUCCUAGACUGUCCUAGACGAAGACUAGGAAGACUAGAGGUCGCUUUUUCUAUGAUUCACUGCCUAGUUUUGCCCUCUGCAGAUCAGCCAUUGGCUAAUGCCAGGCAAAAUUUUUCGAAACGGGUUUUGCGCCAGGUGAAAAAGAAUAUUUCACGUGGAUGCCAUGCUCUCGAACCUAAAAAAAAAACACGUGCAAAAAAAAUUUCAAAUAUAAUUUUGUGAAU
Aphidius gifuensis is the source of this 5856-nucleotide RNA transcript. It is a transcript of the gene named peroxisome biogenesis factor 1, with no coding region annotated. The transcript has 8 exons. Lineage: Eukaryota; Metazoa; Arthropoda; Insecta; Hymenoptera; Braconidae. The record is from RefSeq and is a predicted model, not a curated record.